RNAcentral lists this long non-coding RNA (3908 nucleotides) under Malus domestica (apple). RNAcentral describes it as "long non-coding RNA (MDOM_LNC018364)". Lineage: Eukaryota; Viridiplantae; Streptophyta; Magnoliopsida; Rosales; Rosaceae. The record is from RNAcentral.
CUAAGGCGCAUAAAUAUGCUCCUAUCAUGUGGGCCACAACUAAUCCCUAUUUUUAUAAAUAAAAAAAUGGGAAUCCCUUUCCUUAAAGGCUUCCUAUAAAUAUAUAUGACACACCCCGACCCGACAUAUCCACUAAAACUCCGAAUUGAGCUGUACUGGGCGACACCUGGAAGGUGACGAAGUCAUAAACUGUAGUGAUGUGGAAAAUGUUAGUACUAAAAGUGCGUAAGUAUAAGAGUGCUCUUGUGAGCGGGAAUAAACUCAUUUCACAUGUGACGAUAGAGCAUAAGUAAAGUACAGUAAGGUAAAGUAAGAGUUAUACCAUCAAAGGUAGCCACCUAUACUGAGACUUGCCAAGAAUCUUCGUCAAUACAAAAGUUUAGCUGCUAAAACCCGGAGGGGCGAAAAACAAAGGCGAGUGCGCCUGGAAAUAAAGCUUUAAUAAAAACCUUUUGAAAAUGUUAUAACCCCUCGCCGUAAAACAAGUAUAGUUUCCAGACAAUCAUAAUAUGUAUAGGUAUGAAAUCAAAUGCAAAUCAACAGUAAAUCCAGAAGUAUGCCACAUCACAGUAUCUUAACAGUAAUAUAAGUAAAGCCAUGUGUUUAAUCAAUCUAUACUAGCACACAAGUCGGAGUUGCCUAAUGCAACCUGUACGACUGAACUGAUGCUCAUCAAUCUAUGCUAGCACACGAGUCAGAGUUGCCUAAUGCAACCUGUACAACAGGAUUGGGAGUAAUCAUAAUAUACGCUCUAAUGCUACAAUCACGUGAAGACUGGCGUUAUUCGCAGUCACCUACGAGUCAGAGUUACCUAAUGCAACCUAUACGACAGGGCUGGCACCUACUUGGAUCCAAGAUGAGCGUGUGGUGCAGAGGUGAACAUACACGUGAAAGACUAGCCCUGGCCCUGGGCGAGCAUUAACACCAAAGUGCAGCAAUGAUGAGCAUAAAACAUAAAUAUAGUGAUGCCAUAGUGAUUCGAUAGUUCUAAUCAACAUACUAUCAUUCAUAGCCAUAAACAUAAUUAUGACAUCAAUAAUCAUACCACACCUGUGCAUCCUGUAGGAUGUAGCAUAUUUCAUAAGUUCCAUCAUUUCGCUAAUUCUUGUAAACUUUAGUUUGAUCCCAGCUUACGUAGAGGAUUCUUUUUCAAAUGUAUAAAUGGAAACUAUCAAUCAUAUUGAUAGGAGCAUAUUUAUGCGACUUAGUUAGCUUGUUUCCUUGCAUUUACGUAGUUAGUUUCUACUUUUAGAGUGUUUUAAGCCAUUUUCGUGUGUUCGUAGGUUCAAAUGGCAAAAGUAGCAAGAAAAAGGCGAUUUGGAGCAUUUUAUAGCAGUUUUGGGCUUGGAAUGGACGUCAUAUGAAUGAAGCGAGGUGGAUGGACGUUUUUGAAGAUCAAAAGAGGCUAGGAAUGUGCUAAAAAGUUGAAGGAAUUAAUUCAAGACAUAGAAGAUAAGGAAUCAAUGAUAGGAGCAUAUUUAUGCGACUUAGUUAGCUUGUUUUCUUGCAUUUUCAUACUUUGUUUGUGUUUAUUAUAGUGAUUUAAGCUAUUUUCGUGUGUUUGUAGGUCCAAAUGACAAAGUUGGCAAGAAAGUGCAUUUUGGAGCAGUUUUGGGCACUAAAUGGAUAGCACAUGUAUAGGCCAAGAUGGAUGGACGAAUUUGGAGUUCAAAAGGCUAGGAAUCUGAUAAGAAGAUGAAGAAAUUAAAUUCAAGACAAAGAAGAUAAGGAAUCAGCUCAAAAGAAGAAAUAUUAUCCAAAACCUUAUCCAAACUUAUCUUAUCCAAACAAACCUUAUCUUAUUUUAUCCUAUCCUAAUAUUUUCCUAACUUAAUUCCUGCUGCAAGGGGGAGUUAAUUUCUGAUUUAAAUACCUAGAAACCUUUCUAUAAGGCCUUAUCUGUUCCUACAUUGGUGUUGCAUGUUUUUAGGCCUUGUUCUUAAAGAAAUCAGCCACAUAACAUUGUUUCUAGAAUUCCCUACAAAAGUGGCGCCCAAAACCCUUCUAGAAACCCUAAAAUCUGCAUAAACCCUAGUUCUUUUCCCCCUUGGAUUGAGGGCCAAGACUUUCCCGAAAAUCCUAAGCCUUUUCCCAUCAAAAUUUGUCAAAACCCUAGGCUAUAAAUAUGUGUUUUCAGCCACAAUUUCGUCCACCACCACCCCUUCAUUCAUUCACAUACAUAUUCAGCCGCAUUCAUCCAUCCAUCACCCAUCACACCAUAUUUCAUUCUACAUCACAAGAAUUCAAUUGUGCCACAGCCUUGGGAAAAGAGGAGAGACUUAUCGUGGCUUUCCAUAGGAGAAGGAGGAAUUGUGCCGCAACCAAUCUGCAUCCAUUGGGGAGUUUUAGAGUUCUUUCUUCCUUCGUUUGUUUCCAUGUUUAAUUUAAAUCAUUUUUCAAUUGUUAUGAACAUGUGGAACUAAAUUCUUUUUUGUUAGGUGCGAAUUCCAUCACCCACCACACCAUAUUUCAUUCUACAUCACAAGAAUUCAAUUGUGCCACAACCUUGGGAGAAGAGGAGAGACUUGUCAUGGCUUUCCAUAGGAGAAGGAGGAAUUGUGCCGCAACCAAUCUGCAUCCAUUGGGGAGUUUUAGAGUUCUUUCUUCCUUCGUUUGUUUCCAUGUUUAAUUUAAAUCAUUUUUCAAUUGUUAUGAACAUGUGGAACUAAAUUCUUUUUUGUUAGAUGCGAAUUCGAAGCCAUGGACAUAUGUUUUAUAUGAAUUGAUUUCCUCCAGUUAUUGUUUCAUAAAUUGUGAAUGUGGAUUGCUUAUCUGAUUUAUUGAGAACUUGUUCUUGUAUGUCGAUUAAGGGUGCACACUUAGUUUGCAUGCAUGAAUUUGGUGCUAGGAUAUAGGGGAAUUUCACCUAAUCGUUAUGAACUUAUAUUUAUGAGUAGUAAAAGUCGCUAGUCACGAUUGUGUUAAGUAAUUCCUAGGCAAGAGUAUCAUGCAGUUCAUAGUUAUAAUUGCCUUGUCAAUGCUUAUGAUUUCCACGGAACUUAAUGAUCUUUGAAUGUAUCUCUAUCAUGUUGUUCAUAUAAGGAACUUGAGAAGAAUAAUUUGGGUUAUCGCAUGCAUUCAUCCAAUUCAAUGAAUUUAGGGAAAUUUGAGAGUUAAUUUGUGCAUUCACGAUUAAUUGGGGCAUUGUCAUUCAUGGUUUAAAGAAACAAUACUGGAAAUCGAUUUAUGUUGCAUAUGUUUAUGUGUGGAGAAGGAUCCUCUAACUAGCCUUUCACCCUUGAAUUCGUCUCAAUUUCGUUUUAACUUACUUUGCUUUGCAAUUUGUUUAGUUUUACUUCAAUUUCGUAAAAAACCAGACCCCCUUUUCUAUUUGGUGUUUUUAGGUCAGAAUCUGUUCAAACCAGGUUCUUUAGAGUGUUUUGAGUCAAUAUAGGUUAGUGAUGCGUAAAAUUAACUUAACACACAAAUUAACCCUCUUGUUGACAAUUGUAGUAUGGAUAAGUAGGGAUCGUUCUUAAACCGGGGAUUAGGAGGGAUUGCUAAACACUCUAAACUGACUCAAAUAGAUAAAACUAAGCUUUAAAACACUUAACUAGACUCAAAGGACUCAAAACAAACUCAAAAGACUCAAAACAAGCUAAAAACACUUAAAACUGCCUAAAAACACAAACUGGGCAGUUUUAAGCUCUAAACACAAUUUGGACGAAAUUUGGGUUUCUAAAGGCUCAAAACACUUAAAAACACAAUCUAAGACAAGUUCUAACUAAUAUGACUUAACAAAGUAAAGGGGGUUUGGUUUUGGACGAAAAUAAGUAAAUUAAAACAAGAACAAUUUAAACAGAUUCUUAAGCAAAUUUAGGUGAAUUGAUGAGAUAUGGGGUAACUAGAGGGUUCUUCUCCACACAUCACACACUUGCAUUCAAAUUGAUUUCCAAUUGCUUCUCUCA